AUUGAACGCUGGCGGCAUGCCUAACACAUGCAAGUCGAGCGGAAGCACGGGGGCUUGCCCCUGGUGGCGAGUGGGGCGGGGGUGUGAAAUACAUGGGAAUAUCUCCUGUAGUGGGGUAUAGUCCGGCGAAGGCCGCAUAAAUACCGCAUGCGAUCUACGGGAAAAAGCGGGGUACCUUCGGGCCUCGCGCUAUGAUGUUGCUCGAUGGCGGAUUAGCUAGUUGGUGGGGUAAAGGCCUACCAAGGCGACGAUCAGUAGCUGGUCUGAGAGGGUGACCAGCCACACUGGAACUGAGACACGGCCCAGACUCCUACGGGAGGCAGCAGUGGGGAAUUUUGGACAAUGGGCGAAAGCCUGAUCCAGCAAUGCCGCGUGUGUGAAGAAGGUCUUCGGAUUGUAAAGCACUUUUAUUCGGGAAGAAAUCCUGUGCCAUAAUACGUUCAGGUGUUGACGGUACCGAAAGAAUAAGCACCGGCUAACUACGUG
This 486-nucleotide ribosomal RNA is filed under the name uncultured bacterium. Its description in RNAcentral is "partial 16S ribosomal RNA". It matches the Rfam family "Bacterial small subunit ribosomal RNA", at positions 30 to 507 of the family's 1533-position model. The record is from RNAcentral.